This is a long non-coding RNA of Populus nigra (black poplar), 1149 nucleotides long. RefSeq lists it as uncharacterized. Lineage: Eukaryota; Viridiplantae; Streptophyta; Magnoliopsida; Malpighiales; Salicaceae. The transcript has 2 exons. The record is from RefSeq and is a predicted model, not a curated record.
ACAGUGCAUCCAGCUGAAUCAGACAAAUGGAAGGUAGCUGCUGCAAAAUGUUUAUGUAUUGAAAAUAAUUUUUAAGUUAUAAUAUCAAGCCCCAGGUAAGUUUACCCAUUUAAAAUUUUACACUCAAAUUUUGAUUUUAAAAAUUAAAAAAAAAAAAAAAAACCUUAAACAUCAUUUUUUUCAAACCGCAAAGUCAGAUGGGGUAGCGGAGCCAGAAGACUUAUCAACAACUAGGCCACCAAGCACCCCAGGAGACCACCCAAUACCAAUCAGUAGGAGAAUAUCCACAAAGGCUUCCAUCAGAUACGAGGAACCAAGUUCAAGCCCAUGAUCUGUUUGGUUUUUAAGGUGCUAAUUGAUUUAUGACAAGUAAUUUAAUUAAUCAAUACUAAAUCACCAGUCCAUCACUUCCUUUUUUGUGCUUGAAGGAGCAGAACUUGUAUAAACACCAGACUACAGGCAGCUCACAAAUUAGUGUGUUUCGCAUUUUAGUAAUUUUUAUGGCAAAAUGAGUCAUGAUUUGCAGCCUGCAUGAUAGAUACUGCUAGGAUCAAAUUUUGUUGGUUUCUUUCUGCGAUCCAGGAAAAAAGAACAUAUCCCACCAAAAAAGAACAAAGAAAAAUGGCCUUUUAGGGCUGAAAAGGCAUCAAGUAAUGAAAAGGCAACAAAAUGAUAGGAAGAAGAACAGAUUGUGCAUGUACCUGAAGGGUCACUGUUAACAGCACUGACGAGUUGCAGAGAGACUCCUUGGCCUAAAAACUCAUGCACACGAUCAUGAAUCGAAGCAUUUAAAUCAGUUAAGUCCAGAACAUUCUUCUUCAUCAGCACAACAGUGCCUCUUAUCUUCUUUUUGCAGUCCCCUGUACAACAACCAGUGAUGGCAUCAAUAAUGUUCUGAAACAUUUCUUUUCCUCUCUUCUGUUGCUCACUUCUUGGUGCUGAACAAAGAGUUCAAUCUACAGGUGGCUUUAGAAAACAAUGUAAUGCGAGUCAAGGGAACGGUUGUGUGGUAGUAUUUAUAGAGAGGGACUACACAUAUGGUAAAGAACACGCAGCUUCAUUUGUUCAUAUUGCAGCUUGCUCUAGUUAUUGCAUUUUAUCAGGAAAGGAAGACUUUUUGUGCUCAAGUCUUCGUUUCAUAUGAAACCA